Ciona intestinalis (vase tunicate) is the source of this 666-nucleotide non-coding RNA. The record is from RefSeq and is a predicted model, not a curated record. NCBI's taxonomy places the organism in Eukaryota, Metazoa, Chordata, Ascidiacea, Phlebobranchia, Cionidae.
AAAAAAGUAACUAAAGUGCUUGGAAUUGAUAAAGAUUUGAACCCAUGAUCAGAAUUGAGUAACCACAUAACCUUCCUCUAUAUCCGAUGAUUCUUUACAAAUGAAAACCUGCCACCAAGGUAUAGUGAGCUUGGAGGAUGCGCAGAAUGUUCAAUGUUAUCUGGGGAGAAAAUGAUAAAAACAAAAAUACGGAAAUCAUUCACUAUACCUUGCAAGCUGUACUUCAGGACUGGAUGUCAGCAGAUACUUAUGUUAUCUUAAAGGAGCAACAGCAGCUAUUGUUUCGUAAACUUCACCACCUCGUCCAAUAUAACCAAGCACACCAUCAUCUUUCUUCAUCACAACCCACGCUGUCUCUCCAUAUUCAUUCGGAGUCAAACCCUCACUGAGGUAUAGCAGAAGUGUAAAUUCUUCCUGGGAAGAAAAGAUGGUUCUGCAUCAAAUCCGUUAAGAUGAGCAUUUGCUUUGCAAAGAUGUGACCUCCAUUGUAUCAACUCAUUCAAAGUGAAUAAAUCAUCGAAGAUAUAAAUUGGUCUAAAGAAAACUUUGAAUAAACUUUCACUUUUCGAUGUGAAAUAAUGUUAAUCAAUGAAGUUGCACUGAUGAUAAAUUCACAGCAUCAGUGCAUAGCAUUAUAAAUAAAAUAUAGUUUGUUUGAAUUUGUUA